GUGUCACAUGAAAGGAGAGAAGGUUAGCAUUCUCCUGGCCAACCCUAGAAGAGGCUCUUGAGCCUAUCUUGGGUCUUGAAUAUUGUAUAGCUUAAGAAAAAAACAGUUAACUUCUCUCAGCCUCAAUUUUUU
RNAcentral lists this non-coding RNA (132 nucleotides) under Rhinopithecus bieti (black snub-nosed monkey). Lineage: Eukaryota; Metazoa; Chordata; Mammalia; Primates; Cercopithecidae. The record is from RNAcentral.